UUCGUAUAAUUGGUGCAUGCCGGAAAAUCUAUUUUCCAGAAUUGUUGACCGUAUUGAAUAUUUCGGUAAUUGUACAGAUUUUUAGGUUGCCAUGUGAGUUGCAGAAUGAGCUACACAUCCAUGACUCCAUGGAAUUCAAUGACGUCGUGGUCUAUGGCAACACCAAGUAAAACCACUUAUUAUUGCUAAGCGACCUGCCGCUGUACAGACGACUAGUUACUAUGGUGAUGGUUUCUGCGAAACUGCGCCUAAUAAUUCACACUUUUUCAUCACGCGAAUGGUUGAACAAAAAUAUGAUUAGUAUCUGAAAUCAACAAUGCCUAGAAGCGGAAGAGGAAAGUGUUUGUACUAUCAAAGACAAUGGAAGGAAGGGUAAGGCCCGUAAGGUGCGAUGUUCUGUAAAGGAGUACCGAGACCUCGUGAGGUCUAUAGACUCACUACAAGGCAAUAGACCCAGCAUCAUUCAACAGGAGGAGCAUGAAGCCAGAAUCAUUCAACAGGAGGAGCAAGAACCCAGUGUAACCUUUCCACUUGAAACCAAUGAAUCUGAGGUGGCAGAACCUAUAGCAGCCACAAAAAAAGGGCAGUAAACGAGGCAGAAGGAUGGAGAAAAAUACGAUCUGAUCUGGCUGUUGCCCGGAUGGAAGGAUUUUGUCCUGCUUCAAACCAAUGUUCCUCAUGUGGCUCUUCUGAGGUUCCCGAAAUCAUAUGGUGUCCUGACUGUGGACCCAACACUCUGUAUUGCAUGAUGUGUAAUGAGAAUAUCCACCGCAUGGUAAUGUACCAUCAGGCGUAUGUAUGGAAAAAUGAUGUUUAUAUGUUUGUGCCCCUUAUUAAAGAAACAACCCUCAUCCAUGAACACUCAUGUGACAGCAUAUACUCUCGUCAAAUAAGAGUUUUUGAUGCAUUGGGGAGACAGCAUAAAGUAAAAUCCCAUUUCUGCCAGUGUGAGCCAGAAGCUGUUACCUUAGUUAGAAGGGGAUUAUGGCCAGCAACACCCAAACAGCCAGAAACAGCCAGAAACAGCCUUCACGAUAACACUGAUGGAGCUAGGGCGAAUGCUACAGCUUGAAGGUCAAUUAUCUCUGCAAAAGUUUUGCUUUGCCUUAAAAAGAAGAACUACUUUCCUACCUCCUCACACAACUGACUGCAGAGACCUCUACCUGGCACUGGGAAACGCACUAACUGAAUUCCAUCAUCAUCAAGUGUCGUGCCUUGAGAUGGCACAUUCUCCAGACAUUGUGGGCAAGAACUGCCCAGUAUGUACAUUGGUAUGUGUACUCCUGAACUGUCGGCUAGAUGUCUGUAUUAGUGCCAAUUAGUCAUUGCUUAAACAGGAUUUAUUACACAUUUCUUUGCAUUUAGGUUUCAACUGCUUUGCUAGCUACAAGAUUUUUUUCAAUCAUUAUGGGUUUAGAUUUUUAGUAAGGCAGACAUUUGUUUAAAAUAAAUCAUUAAAGCAGGAUUUAGGGAAAUGUAAAAAAGAAAAAAAAAGGUAGAUACUGAUCAUUAUGUUCAAUUAACUGUUUUAAGUGGCUCAGUAGUGCUGGCCCCGUCAAAGCAUUUAUCUCAGUUCACAUCUACACACUGUCUGGUUUUAUCUUCUCCUCUCUCUCUGGUUGUACAUUCCUCUAACCAGACUUCUGCCACUAUAUUUGCUAGAAUUCUAUGCUGACUGCCUUCAAAGCAUUAGUAAAACAUACAUUUUUUUUGCUUCCAUAUGUGGGUGUGGGUGUGGGUGGAUGUUGCUCAUGUGUUUAACAGUUUCGCAAAAUUAUGCAUCAUGAAUGCCUGUAGCAAGAACUGGUGCUUUACAGAUACAUUUAUGAUUAUAUCAAGAUUACCAUUUAAUGAUAUAUUUAUGGUAGAAACCUGAAAGGUCUGUCGUCUCUCAGUAUGCAAGAUUUACAGUCUUUAGUCCAGAUGACAGUGUCAGGGACUUCGUUAAUAAUCACUGCCAAGCAGUUUCAAAAUCUGUCCCUGAAUCAUCAGAGUGCUCAGACUUUCAGGCUGGUGACAUGGUUAGGGCUAAAAAUUAAAGUGCAAAUCUGGAUAUAAAAGGAGUGUUUGGCUCUGUGUGUCACCAUGGAUUUCCCCUCUAUUUUGUGAACAUGGAGCAUGGCGAAAGAUUUGCAUAUCCAGUCUAUAUUAUGAAGCAGAUUGCUUCAAGGCAGGUUGGUGCUACAAAUGAAAAGCAGAUUGUCAUGUAUGAUAUUGCCUGUAGACUGCAAGCUCAUCUUGGGCAUUCCAAGCGAAAUUACUACUCUUCAUUCAGCAGGCGGGAAGGAUGGAGCUUGUCCACUUCCCAACGUGUGCAUCUCUACGUCAGGAUCAGCAGCAACAAAUGUCUUUCCCCAAAGAAAGAAUGAUAGAACUUUUGGGGCUCUUGAAGGAUAAUUUCAGUGAAAGAUUUAAGGAUUUUCAUGAUUUGAAGGAUGAAAUACGUCUCUUCAAAAAUCCAUUUGCGGCAGAUGUGUCAA
Long non-coding RNA from Pomacea canaliculata, 2480 nucleotides. RefSeq lists it as uncharacterized. The record is from RefSeq and is a predicted model, not a curated record. Lineage: Eukaryota; Metazoa; Mollusca; Gastropoda; Architaenioglossa; Ampullariidae. The transcript is spliced from 10 exons.